Molecule: transfer RNA, 65 nt
Filed under: Doratura homophyla
Lineage: Eukaryota; Metazoa; Arthropoda; Insecta; Hemiptera; Cicadellidae
Description: tRNA-Gly
Source: RNAcentral
AUUCAUUUAGUAUAAAUAAGUAUGUUAAGCUUCCAACUUAAAGGUUAAUUUCAAUUAAAUGAAUA